AUGCAUUGCGGAGAUGUAAUAGACCAUCAGGGCAAAUGUGACGGUGUCCUCUGGCUAUUCCGUCGCCAAUUUCUUCUGGGAAAAGAUCAGCAGCUCAACCGUGGGCGGAUUAUUAAGAACCCUGAGGAUAAAUCGUACAGACUGAGUGUUACAGAGGACUGUUCUCUGGUUAUAAAGAAGGUCACAUUUGACGACACUGGUUUCUACACCUGCUUAAAACCAGGACAAGAUGAAGAAUAUCUAGUUGAACUGAUUGUUUUCACCACAGGAAUCAUCUUUCCAGGGUCUGGAACCGAUGCUCCAUCAAAUUUACAAGGAGUCACAGCAGGGAGAAACGAGACAGCAACAGAACAAGGAGGCACAGCAGGGAGAAACGAGACAGCGACAGAACAAGCUCGUACAGAUUGUUCUGUUGUCGACUACAUCAUGUUGGUUCUGCGUGUGGCUGAACUCGUCCUAAUUACUGUGAUUACUGUUCUUCUCAUCAGAGCUCAAGGGAACCAGAGACCACCCGGAUGACGACACU
Molecule: long non-coding RNA, 526 nt
Filed under: Sparus aurata (gilthead seabream)
Lineage: Eukaryota; Metazoa; Chordata; Actinopteri; Spariformes; Sparidae
Description: lncRNA (ENSSAUG00010019429.1)
Source: RNAcentral